Small nucleolar RNA from Dichanthelium oligosanthes, 188 nucleotides. It matches the Rfam family "Small nucleolar RNA Z112". Rfam says of the family: Z112 is a member of the C/D class of snoRNA which contain the C (UGAUGA) and D (CUGA) box motifs. Most of the members of the box C/D family function in directing site-specific 2'-O-methylation of substrate RNAs. NCBI's taxonomy places the organism in Eukaryota, Viridiplantae, Streptophyta, Magnoliopsida, Poales, Poaceae. The record is from Rfam.
GUCCCUGUGAAGAUCUCAAGACCUACCGAUAGGAAGUGCCGUUUGACACUGUAAACAGCAGCCGCUUCUCUCGGCUGCAGGUGUCCAUCCUUAGACCAUUACCUUUGUGGUUUGGUCUGGAUGGAACUCCCAUCUGCAGCUGUUUGAUUCAGCUGUGGUGUGUGAUUUAAAUCGGGUCUCUGAGGGAC